Molecule: ribosomal RNA, 767 nt
Filed under: Potamogeton cheesemanii
Lineage: Eukaryota; Viridiplantae; Streptophyta; Magnoliopsida; Alismatales; Potamogetonaceae
Description: eukaryotic LSU rRNA
Rfam family: 5.8S ribosomal RNA (bases 285-440)
Source: RNAcentral
AAGUCGUAACAAGGUUUCCGUAGGUGAACCUGCGGAAGGAUCAUUGUCAAAAUCUCUCAUUGUAGACCGAGAACAUGUGACCUCCCGAUGCUUGCGUGGUGUGUUCCUUCAUUGGUCUAUCCACGCGAGAGCCUCCCUUCUUUCUAUUUACUAGAACGUUGGGUGUGCCUAACAACCCCUCGGCACGRACUGUGCCAAGGUAAUCAAUGGAAGUCAUUGUGGUGGUACCAUGUGUGCUCCACAGUGACUCGUUUGUACUUAAGAAUCCUCUGAGGAUCUCAGAUGACUCUCGGCAACGGAUAUCUUGGUCCUCGCAUCGAUGAAGAACGUAGCGAAAUGCGAUACUUGGUGUGAAUUGCAGAAUCCCGUGAACCAUCGAGUCUUUGAACGCAAGUUGCGCCCUAAGCUUCCGGGCCGAGGGCAAGCCUGCGUGGGCGUCAAGUUACGUUGCUCUUUCACCCUCCUUGAGGCUCAUUUUCUUGGUGCCCCUUGGUGAAGGUGUUCGAAGCAGAGAUUGGCCUUCCAUUCUCUUUCGACGAAUGGUGGGUUGAAGUUUUUAUUGCCGCCGGAAUUCGUGCAAGGGCAUGACGGUUGAAGUCUCGUAGUCUUGGACAUCUUUGUCCGCUACGGCUUACUUGUCGUUCUCGUCGAUCCGGUGUCAUUCCCUCUGUUCAUGGCAAUAUGUUGAUCCUACGCACUCCGUAGGGCAUCUUUGCCUUGACCAACAUCGCGACCCCACGUCAGGCUAGAUCACCCGCUGAGUUUAA